Long non-coding RNA from Daphnia pulex (common water flea), 297 nucleotides. RefSeq lists it as uncharacterized. The transcript has 3 exons. The record is from RefSeq and is a predicted model, not a curated record. Lineage: Eukaryota; Metazoa; Arthropoda; Branchiopoda; Diplostraca; Daphniidae.
GCCUAACCAUAAUUUCUGUAAAAAUGGUUGGCAGAUGUGCUGUUCCUGGUUGUAAAUCAACAUAUUUCAAAGGAAAUCAAAAAGAAAACGAGGAUACCCUGUUUGCAAUUCCUAAAACUUCAUUAUCAAAAUGGCGAGAACUAAUUCCAUGGAUUGAAAUUUUGAACGUGUUCCAUCCUUACAAACGGUGGACUCUUAAUGCUGGAGCAAUGCCCUGGAAACCAACAUUUUCUGUUAAAUGAUACAUCUAGUCAACAAGUAAUGCAAAAUGUUGAUGUUUUCAAAUGGAGAAAUAAC